UACGUAGGGUGCGAGCGUUGUCCGGAAUUAUUGGGCGUAAAGAGCUCGUAGGCGGCCUGUCGCGUCGACCGUGAAAACCCGCAGCUCAACUGCGGGCUUGCGGUCGAUACGGGCAGGCUGGAGUUCGGUAGGGGAGACUGGAAUUCCUGGUGUAGCGGUGAAAUGCGCAGAUAUCAGGAGGAACACCGGUGGCGAAGGCGGGUCUCUGGGCCGAUACUGACGCUGAUGCGCGAAAGCGUGGGGAGCAAACGGG
RNAcentral lists this ribosomal RNA (253 nucleotides) under uncultured bacterium. Its description in RNAcentral is "partial 16S ribosomal RNA". It matches the Rfam family "Bacterial small subunit ribosomal RNA", at positions 524 to 776 of the family's 1533-position model. The record is from RNAcentral.